Long non-coding RNA from Macadamia integrifolia, 1302 nucleotides. RefSeq lists it as uncharacterized. The record is from RefSeq and is a predicted model, not a curated record. The transcript has 2 exons. NCBI's taxonomy places the organism in Eukaryota, Viridiplantae, Streptophyta, Magnoliopsida, Proteales, Proteaceae.
UAAAAGCAAGGAGAAGGAGAAAGAGAAAGAAGAAGGAGAGCAAGGGUUUCCUACAGAGUAAGGAGUAGAGCCAAGAAGUGACGAGACAAUGUGGUACGAGGCCAUCGGCUGUCUAUCAUCACCUAGGACUCGAGGUGAGGGGAUUUGUGUGAUUAUUUUUAUGGAAUGUUUAUGUCAUGUUACAUAUGCGGAUGAUCAUAUCAUUUUACGUAUUACAAUCUUGUGUGUUGUGGAGAAUGUUGAUGUUACAUAAUGGUAUAAUUGUGUUGUGUAUGUGUAUGAAUGUGGCUGGGAUGCAAGGUGGCCAAAGGUUGGGUUCCGGCAUGGUAUGCCCAGGGUGAGUGUGUGUGUGAGUGUAUUAUGGAGAUUGGGGUGCAGGGUGUCCGAAGGUUGGUUCUGGCAUUGUAUUCCCAUGGUGUGUGUGUCGGGUACAAGGUAGCUGAAGGUUGGGUUCUGGCAUUGUAAGCCCACGGGGUGUGUGAGUUUGUUUGUGAAGUGAUAUGAAUCAUGCUAGGUUGCAUUAGGUCAGGAAAAAUUACCCUGAUGCUACAACCCUUGCCAAUAGGGGGUUUACGUAUUGGCUAAUCCUACCAUCUGAUGGUCCGAGGUUGGGGACGAUUUCUAGUGACUGAGGUGGUGGGGAUGCCAGCUUCGUGAUAAACCCUGACGCGAUGUUUGAUUCUAUGAGGUGGUAUAUAUAUAAGGGAUUAUUAAUAGAGUUUGACGGGUAACGAUGUGGUUCCGGAGCUGGCACACUUCUGACUCACAACUAGCUCUUAUCCUUAGGGAUAGAUAACGGACAUUCGUGACUCGGGAUACCACCUAUGUUAUAGUAGCACUAAUACCCAUUAUAGACUUAGAAUCUGUUGAUUGGGUUUGAUUGUUAAUAAUCUGGAUCAUGUCAUUGUAUUCAUCUAAAUGCAUUCAUAUUGGUUUGGUUGGGCAUUUAUAUUGUUUUUAUUUCAUGAAUUAUUGUGAAUGUUUGCGUGUACCCCUCACUGGGCUUCAUGGAAGCUCCCCCCAGUUUUGCCCCCUUUUUAGAUGUUGAUUCAGGUAACUAUUUGGAGUCUGUGGUUGAGGAGUCAGCUCUCUACGGAGGUGAUCUCUAGGACGAGGACCUAACACGCACGAGGACGGUGGCGUAUGUGACGACUAUGCAUUCGGAGCAUGCUGAGGAUGAGAGUAUCAUCUUCUAUUUUUUAUUUCUUUUUGUACUUAUCAUAUAUAUCCCUAGGGGCAUAACUGAAAUUACGAUUCCGCUGUGAAAACUCUUUUGGUAAAUAUGAUAAAUAUUAUUAGACA